GACGAACGCUGGCGGCGUGCCUAAUACAUGCAAGUAGAACGCUGAAGAGAGGAGCUUGCUCUUCUUGGAUGAGUUGCGAACGGGUGAGUAACGCGUAGGUAACCUGCCUUGUAGCGGGGGAUAACUAUUGGAAACGAUAGCUAAUACCGCAUAACAAUGGAUGACACAUGUCAUUUAUUUGAAAGGGGCAAUUGCUCCACUACAAGAUGGACCUGCGUUGUAUUAGCUAGUAGGUGAGGUAAUGGCUCACCUAGGCGACGAUACAUAGCCGACCUGAGAGGGUGAUCGGCCACACUGGGACUGAGACACGGCCCAGACUCCUACGGGAGGCAGCAGUAGGGAAUCUUCGGCAAUGGGGGCAACCCUGACCGAGCAACGCCGCGUGAGUGAAGAAGGUUUUCGGAUCGUAAAGCUCUGUUGUAAGUCAAGAACGGGUGUGAGAGUGGAAAGUUCACACUGUGACGGUAGCUUACCAGAAAGGGACGGCUAACUACGUGCCAGCAGCCGCGAUAAUACGUAGGUCCCGAGCGUUGUCCGGAUUUAUUGGGCGUAAAGCGAGCGCAGGCGGUUUGAUAAGUCUGAAGUUAAAGGCUGUGGCUCAACCAUGGUUCGCUUUGGAAACUGUCAAACUUGAGUGCAGAAGGGGAGAGUGGAAUUCCAUGUGUAGCGGUGAAAUGCGUAGAUAUAUGGAGGAACACCGGUGGCGAAAGCGGCUCUCUGGUCUGUAACUGACGCUGAGGCUCGAAAGCGUGGGGAGCGAACAGGAUUAGAUACCCUGGUAGUCCACGCCGUAAACGAUGAGUGCUAGGUGUUGGAUCCUUUCCGGGAUUCAGUGCCGCAGCUAACGCAUUAAGCACUCCGCCUGGGGAGUACGACCGCAAGGUUGAAACUCAAAGGAAUUGACGGGGGCCCGCACAAGCGGUGGAGCAUGUGGUUUAAUUCGAAGCAACGCGAAGAACCUUACCAGGUCUUGACAUCCCGAUGCUAUUUCUAGAGAUAGAAAGUUACUUCGGUACAUCGGUGACAGGUGGUGCAUGGUUGUCGUCAGCUCGUGUCGUGAGAUGUUGGGUUAAGUCCCGCAACGAGCGCAACCCCUAUUGUUAGUUGCCAUCAUUCAGUUGGGCACUCUAGCGAGACUGCCGGUAAUAAACCGGAGGAAGGUGGGGAUGACGUCAAAUCAUCAUGCCCCUUAUGACCUGGGCUACACACGUGCUACAAUGGUUGGUACAACGAGUUGCGAGUCGGUGACGGCGAGCUAAUCUCUUAAAGCCAAUCUCAGUUCGGAUUGUAGGCUGCAACUCGCCUACAUGAAGUCGGAAUCGCUAGUAAUCGCGGAUCAGCACGCCGCGGUGAAUACGUUCCCGGGCCU
Molecule: ribosomal RNA, 1369 nt
Filed under: uncultured bacterium
Lineage: Bacteria
Description: bacterial SSU rRNA
Rfam family: Bacterial small subunit ribosomal RNA
Source: RNAcentral